UACAGAGGUGCCGAGCGUUAGGCGGAAUCACUGGGCUUAAAGCGUGUGUAGGCGGACUUCUAAGUACCUUGUGAAAUCCCACGGCUCACCCGUGGAACUGCUGGGUAUACUGGUCGUCUUGAGCCACCUAGGGGCGAGCGGAACAAAUGGUGGAGCGGUGAAAUGCGUAGAUAUUCGCAAGAACACCAGUGGCGAAGGCGGCUCACUGGCCCGAUACUGACGCUGAGGCACGAAAGCGUGGGGAGCAAACAGG
Molecule: ribosomal RNA, 253 nt
Filed under: uncultured bacterium
Lineage: Bacteria
Description: partial 16S ribosomal RNA
Rfam family: Bacterial small subunit ribosomal RNA
Source: RNAcentral